This 470-nucleotide ribosomal RNA is filed under the name uncultured Alphaproteobacteria bacterium. Its description in RNAcentral is "bacterial SSU rRNA". It matches the Rfam family "Bacterial small subunit ribosomal RNA", at positions 9 to 524 of the family's 1533-position model. The record is from RNAcentral. Lineage: Bacteria; Pseudomonadati; Pseudomonadota; Alphaproteobacteria.
GAGUUUGAUCAUGGCUCAGAACGAACGCUGGCGGCAUGCCUAACACAUGCAAGUCGAACGAAGGCUUCGGCCUUAGUGGCGCACGGGUGCGUAACGCGUGGGAACCUGCCCCUUGGUUCGGAAUAACAGUUAGAAAUGACUGCUAAUACCGGAUGAUGACGAAAGUCCAAAGAUUUAUCGCCGAGGGAUGGGCCCGCGUAGGAUUAGCUAGUUGGUGGGGUAAUGGCCCACCAAGGCGACGAUCCUUAGCUGGUCUGAGAGGAUGAUCAGCCACACUGGGACUGAGACACGGCCCAGACUCCUACGGGAGGCAGCAGUGGGGAAUAUUGGACAAUGGGCGAAAGCCUGAUCCAGCAAUGCCGCGUGAGUGAUGAAGGCCUUAGGGUUGUAAAGCUCUUUUACCCGGGAUGAUAAUGACAGUACCGGGAGAAUAAGCUACCGGCUAACUCCGUGCCAGCAGCCGCCGUAAU